AGAAUCAACGCUGGCGGCGUGCCUAACACAUGCAAGUCGAACGGGAAAGGGUAGCAAUACCUGAGUAAAGUGGCGCACGGGUGAGUAACACGUGACUAACCUACCCUGGAGUGGGGGAUAACUGAGGGAAACCUUAGCUAAUACCGCAUAACACCUACGGGUCAAAGGAGCAAUUCGCUUCAGGAGGGGGUCGCGGCCGAUUAGUUAGUUGGCGGGGUAAUGGCCCACCAAGACAGUGAUCGGUAUCC
RNAcentral lists this ribosomal RNA (248 nucleotides) under uncultured bacterium. RNAcentral's name for it is "partial small subunit ribosomal RNA". It matches the Rfam family "Bacterial small subunit ribosomal RNA", at positions 26 to 288 of the family's 1533-position model. The record is from RNAcentral.